This 4311-nucleotide long non-coding RNA is filed under the name Marmota monax (woodchuck). The record is from RNAcentral. Lineage: Eukaryota; Metazoa; Chordata; Mammalia; Rodentia; Sciuridae.
GGACCAGCCUCACCCACAGUGCCCCACCGAAGAGCUGCCCCACCUCCCCUAGCGAUGGCAGCAGGGAAGUCCCGAGCACAGGGCAGGGGCGCUCGGUCCUCUGUCAGAUCCCAGGAGACAGAACCACAGCGAGGCCCUGAAAGCACAGGCCAGAAUGGCUCUGGUGUGGCCGCCCGCAUCCCGCCACACCAGUGACCGCCAGGACACGUCGGCACUGCUGUGGGACCUGCCGCCCACCAGGCCCUAGGUGCGGCUUCGCUCCCCCACGGGACCAUGCUCAUCUCUUGCUGCAGCUACAUCAUGGAAUUUUAAGAAAGUGCGGUAAUUUGCCCAAGGACACGGAGCUCUGGAGCGUGUGCUCUCCUCUUGCCCAUCUCUGGCACGGACGGCCGCAGCUCCAGUCCUGGCCUGCCUCCCUGCUGGCCCCGAGUCCCUCUUUGGCAGACUCCAUCUUGCUCUCUUACUCCAAGCACCUUGGCCAGCCCCGAUGUGUGGCGAGUCCUCUGGAGGGUCCUCCGAUGCUCAAAUGAGGGCACCCCAUCUGCCCCGGGGGACGGAGCUCUGCGGCUGGGCUGGGGGGCUGGUCUGAUGUGCCCUGCAGCUGCAUGUGUUCAGGGGUGUCUCUGCCAGCUGGCCGAUGCCUGCAGGGAGGACUUCUGUGUCCUUCCUGUCACUCUAGGUAAGGAAGCUAAGGUGGGCAAGAAAACAGGCUCCCCCCAAAGUCUCUGCCCUGACUCCUGGACACUGAGUAUGUUAGGUCACACAGCACAGGACUCGAGGUUGCUAGAGAGCUGACUUUCCCCAGGGAGAGGCCCUGCGUUAUCCAGGGGGACAGGAAUGUGGAAGAGGGAGGCAGAAAAAUCAGUCAGACCAAGAGAAGCCAGUCUGGACGCAGAGCUGUUGGCUUUGUGGGGGCCACAAGCCAAGGAGUGUGGGCAGCCUCCAGAAGAGGGGAGAGGCUGGGGCUGGAGUCUCCCCCGAGGCCCUGGAGGGAGCUCAGCCCUGCCCACACCUUGACUGCAGCCCAGUGGGCUCCAGGCAGACUUCCUGCUCCCGGAACUGCAAGGUACGAGUCUGUGUUGCUUAGGUCACGCGUGGUAGUGUGCUAUAGCAGUGACAGGGCACUGGGACAUGCCCCACCCCACAGAGUGACUGGUGGCUGAGGGCCUCCCUUGGUUGGAGAGGAGCUAGGUGAGAGUGGGAGGUCUGUCCAGGAGCCGUCCACACACAGCUGCCCUCUUGUCCAGAGGACCCAGGUGUUGGGCUUGGAGCAGUUGUGGCCCCUGCCAUCACCAGUCUUGAGGAUGGAUGGACAAUGGGAAGGACUGCCGAGCUGGGCUCAGCUGGACUUGGUCCCCCACAUGGUCCAGCUGCUCCCCACACCCUUGUCUACCUCACGCACAAAAGGCCAGGAACCCAGUGAGAGGAGAGCCGAGGCGCCAUCCAGGCUCCUACUCCAAGGCCCAGCAUGUUCCUCUGGGUGGAGGUGCACUGGUUGGAGCAGUCACUCAUCAAGCGUCCCCGGCCCCUGCCGUGAGCCAGCCACAAUACUAGGUGCUGGGGGUAGGGACUCCCAUGGCACGGUUGAAACUUCUGCCUCACAGGACACACGUCCUCUAAUACCAGGGUCUCAAUCUCAGAUGUCCCUGGGCUAAGCAGGUGAUGGAAGGUGUAGGAAGAGUGUGUAAGAUCCAGACCCAGACACCCUCCUCAGGGCGUCCCCCCAACUGUCACCACACAGGGAUGCAGCCCAGGGGUUUCUGGUCACUUGACUUUUCAGAAGAAGCCAGACUUAUGGGAUUUUUAAAAAUUUGAAAUACUUUAAAAAUGUUUAGAUUUAAAUUUAAUUUAAAAAUAUUGGCAAGAAAUUCAAUGUUUAAAAAUAGUUGAGAUGAACAGCCCAGUUUGGGCCCUGAUGCCACCCGUCGCCUUGCUGGAGCCUGUGGACGAGUCGCAGCGUGGCUGGACUUGGGUCACAGGGCACAUGCAGCCUGGGGAAGAGGAGGGGUGGUUUGGGGAACCCUCGUCACUGGGCCCAGGGUGGCUGGACUUCAGUGACUCCUGUGUGACGAGUGUGAGCACCUCCGGACAGGAUAUGGCAGGGAGACGGGUCGUCCAAGAAAAGUGGCCACACUUGCCUAUUUGACUAUGUUGCUGUUCUGAGCUGAAAGACAAAGGUUCAAGGGGAAGGGCAUGGUCCCUCGUUCUUCAUUUAAGUCCUUCUCUUAGGAAACCCAAGAUGAUCAUCUCGUCGGAAUACGAGGUUACAGGUGAACCUUCGGUGGCCUGUGGGUCGAGCUCACCAUCCGGAGGAACCUGUGUCUCCGGGACGCAGGCAGCGGGCUUUUGGAGGGUCCAGGGUUGCCCUUCCCUGUGCUGGGGGCAGAGCCCACUGUAGCCCACCUUCCCUUGGGUUGGAGCCAGUAGCCGAGGGGUGGAGCUGAGGCAGCCUCUCCUCUACAGGAGAGGGCAGGGCAGGGGAGCUGGGGCGUCCGGCUCACACCAGCAGGACAGAGAAAGGUGCUGGGGUCUGUCAGCAGUGUCCCUGGAGACAGCAAAUGAGGUGAAGGGACGCAGGGAGAAGAGGGCCUUCCACACACCCAGGAGAAGGGCUUGGGACAGAAUACCCCUGUGCAGGCCUGGGGUGGGGGUGGGAGGGCAACGCGGCCACCACCUUGACCUUGGACCCGCGGCCUCCAGAACACGAGAACCGAUUUCGGUUCUUAGCUGUGCCGUUUGUGGCACUUUGCUGCAGCAGCCAUGGCAAGCAAACUGGUACAGCCACUGCCAUCUGUGUCUGCUGUUAUAAAUAGCUCCAAGAAAACAAAAGCCUGAGAGUUGGUGUCAGGACUGCUCCCGUCAGGGCUCGGCUCGCCUCCUGAAGCCCUGCCUCUGCCCCUCCAUUCCCGGUCGCUCUGGCAGAAUCCCACAGGCUGGGGGAUUUAUGAAGGUCUAUUUGGCUCCCAGCUCUGGGGGCAGGGAGGUCCAGCCCCGGUGCUCACAUCUGCACGGCUCUGGUGGGGACCUCGCACCAUACCACGCCUGUCCUGCAGCAGGUGUGGAGGAGGCAGAACGAGGCACCGCCACCUCAGCAGCCCACUCCUUCCCUGCGGGACCAUCCAUCCCUCGCCACAGCCCAGUCACCACCUAAGGCCCCGCCUCCCAACGACCACAACAGCAAUCAGACUUGAACUUGAGUUCUGGAGGGAACAGGCCAUAGUCAAAGCAGAGCCCCUCCUAAUUCCCUGUGGCCACAAGGGUCAGCAUCACUGAGGGCGGGCAGCUGGCAAGUCCUGCUGGUCAGCACAUGGCCAGCUCCUCCUCCCUCUGAACAAUGCAGGCAAGAGGAGAGAGUGAGAUCAGGGCUGCUCUGCCCUGGAGAAGGUAGUGGUGGGAUGAAGCAGGAAUGCUGCUGCCAGCCACGCCCACACACGCGUGCACACCUCCAUGCACACCCACACACACGUGCACACCUCCACACAGGAGCCAUGCAGCACCGGCCCAGUUCUGCCACAGUGCUUCUCCAGCGCUGUGGUCACACUCGCCGCUGUCCUCUGGUUUGAGUCUCAUUACACCUGACCCAGCUCUGGGGACUGCACUUUGGGAGGGGCCUGGGAUCUGGCUACCCAGGCUGCUGGGCACGUCUUGGAUCCAGCUGACCUCUUCCAGGGCACCUGAGGCUUCAUGCGUGUGGCUGGGUGGGAAGCAGGUGGAGCCUGGCGUCCCUUCUGGCUGCAGAGAAGGGCUGAGGGUGUGGGCACAGAGUGCAGCCCGGGACACUGAAGAUGGGGACGGGAAGGAGACUGCACAGCCCCAAACAGGGCCGCCCAGGGAGCUGCCGCCAGAGAGACACUGCCAUCGGGACAAGUCAGUCUGUCCUUUUUUAAGGUGGAAUAAAACAGUGAAGAGCCUCUUGGUGUCCACAAAGGGAAUUUGUAAUUGUUGAACUGCUGAGACCUGCUGCUGGGAAGUUUGCAAAGCAGGUUUUUGAAAUGGAAACGCCACGUUGUGCACACAAUAGAAGUAAAGGGGCCCAGGUGCUGCAGAGGUCAUUGUAACAAAAUAAGGGGAUCCGUGCUCACCAGGGAGUUUCAGCCCUUCAUACAGACUGGAGCUUGAAGAAGGUCCCUGGUCUUGUUGGAACUCUGCCUGCUAGCGGGUGGAGUCCUCCCCAGCCUGCUCCUCCAGGCCUGGCUGGGCUGCUGGAGGCUGGUUCUGGUACAACCACGGUACGUCAUGGGGUGAAAUGAGUGGAUGGUUUUUGUCAACAAACGUGAGUAACUGCUAUAAUGGCAUCCGUUAGAUGAGCUC